This 318-nucleotide ribosomal RNA is filed under the name Triticum aestivum (bread wheat). Its description in RNAcentral is "partial small subunit ribosomal RNA". The record is from RNAcentral. Lineage: Eukaryota; Viridiplantae; Streptophyta; Magnoliopsida; Poales; Poaceae.
AUGGCUCCUUACAGGCAGUCAACUUUUGGAUUCAGAGGUUCACUUAAACUGCAACACAAGCACUAUGGUGCUUUCCUGAUUACACAACGAGUGGGUAAAGUGGCCUACAAACUCCAGCUCCCUGAUCACAUCAAAAUUCAUCCUAUGUUUCAUGCUACUCAACUCAGAAAGUACCUAGGCCCACAAGCUAUUCCUAGCCCGAGCAUGCCGACUGUGAAUGAGGAUGGUACACUCAAGGCUGCACCAUCACUAAUUCUUCAGGUACGACAAAUCUCUCAUUGCAAUAUUCCCGUGGUUCAGUGGCUCGUGCAGUGGUAG